RNAcentral lists this ribosomal RNA (658 nucleotides) under Micrococcus luteus. Its description in RNAcentral is "bacterial LSU rRNA". It matches the Rfam family "Bacterial large subunit ribosomal RNA", at positions 462 to 1115 of the family's 2925-position model. Lineage: Bacteria; Bacillati; Actinomycetota; Actinomycetes; Micrococcales; Micrococcaceae. The record is from RNAcentral.
AAGCCUGAAUACUACCUGUUGACCGAUAGCGGAUCAGUACCGUGAGGGAAUGGUGAAAAGUACCCCGGGAGGGGAGUGAAAUAGUACCCUGAAACCAUGUGCCUACAAACCGUUGGAGCCUUCUUGUGGGGUGACAGCGUGCCUUUUGAAGAAUGAGCCUGCGAGUUAGUGAUACGUGGCGAGGUUAACCCGUGUGGGGAAGCCGUAGCGAAAGCGAGUCUGAAUAGGGCGAUUGAGUCGCGUGUCCUAGACCCGAAGCGGAGUGAUCUACCCAUGGCCAGGUUGGAGCGCGUGUAAGAGCGCGUGGAGGACCGAACCCACUUCAGUUGAAAAUGGAGGGGAUGAGCUGUGGGUAGGGGGUGAAAGGCCAAUCAAACUCCGUGAUAGCUGGUUCUCCCCGAAAUGCAUUUAGGUGCAGCGUCACGUGUUUCUUCCCGGAGGUAGAGCUACUGGAUGGACGAUGGGCCCUACAAGGUUACUGACUUCAGCCAAACUCCGAAUGCCGGGAAGUGAGAGCGUGGCAGUGAGACUGUGGGGGGAUAAGCUUCAUAGUCGAGAGGGAAACAGCCCAGCCACCGGUUAAGGCCCCUAGCGUGUGCUAAGUGGGAAAGGGAAUGUGGAGUUGCUGAGACAACCAGGGAGGUUGGCUUAGAAGCAG